Molecule: long non-coding RNA, 602 nt
Organism: Priapulus caudatus
Lineage: Eukaryota; Metazoa; Priapulida; Priapulimorpha; Priapulimorphida; Priapulidae
Exons: 3
Source: RefSeq, a predicted model, not a curated record
UACGCACAGCGCGCGUAACUCAUAACGGACGCCGUACAAGUGGGAAUAUAUACAGUCAGAAAGUGUUCGAAUUGCGGCCAAGCCGGUUGUCGAGGCACAAGUAUACUGCAUGGACCAAGACUGGAGUUGCUUCGCAUAGGAAACGUCUGAACUCGUGCUCCAGCUGAGAAGCUGACUGCUGAACUAGAAAGCAGUGGAGUGAGAUUAGAGUUGCAUCGCAUGGGAUACCAUUAAGCCAUCUCCAUCACCGAACCACCAGUGAUGAGGAGAUGUGGAGAGGUGGCGAGAGAGACACACACGCACACAGAGAGAUACACAUAGAGAAAGAGCAGAGGAGGCAUAAUGCGGAGGAGAGAAUAAAAUCAAGAAGUUUAUGUAUAUAUACACACACCGAGAAAUUGAUACAAUAGAUGUGUUUGUGUUAAUCUAUCUGUCUAUUUAUCUAUCUAUCUAUCUAUCUAUCUAUGUAUAUAUAAUAAUGUUUACCUAGAAUGCUUAUUCAGGAAUUAUCACUAUGUAUAGUAACAAUUAAGAGCUAAUAAUACCUUAUUAUAGCUCAGCUCCUAGUUAUAUAGGUAUUAUUAGCUCUUGAUUGUAAUUAU